This 614-nucleotide ribosomal RNA is filed under the name Scheffersomyces tanahashii. RNAcentral's name for it is "partial large subunit ribosomal RNA". It matches the Rfam family "Eukaryotic large subunit ribosomal RNA", at positions 37 to 668 of the family's 3401-position model. The record is from RNAcentral. Lineage: Eukaryota; Fungi; Ascomycota; Pichiomycetes; Serinales; Debaryomycetaceae.
UGUAUACCAAUAAGCGGAGGAAAAGAAACCAACAGGGAUUGCCUUAGUAACGGCGAGUGAGCGGCAAAAGCUCAAAUUUGAAAUCUGGCACCUUCGGUGUCCGAGUUGUAAUUUGAAGAAGGUAACUUUGGAGUUAGCUCUUGUCUAUGUUCCUUGGAACAGGACGUCACAGAGGGUGAGAAUCCCGUGCGAUGAGAUGUCUAACUCUAUGUAAAGUGCUUUCGAAGAGUCGAGUUGUUUGGGAAUGCAGCUCUAAGUGGGUGGUAAAUUCCAUCUAAAGCUAAAUAUUGGCGAGAGACCGAUAGCGAACAAGUACAGUGAUGGAAAGAUGAAAAGAACUUUGAAAAGAGAGUGAAAAAGUACGUGAAAUUGUUGAAAGGGAAGGGUUUGAGAUCAGACUUGGUAUUUUGUAUGUCUUGCUUUCGGGUGGGGCCUCUGCAGUUUACUGGGCCAGCAUCGGUUUGGAUGGUAGGAUAAUGACAUUGGAAUGUGGCACUACUUCGGUGGUGUGUUAUAGACUUUGUUGAUACUGCCUGUCUAGACCGAGGACUGCGUCUUUGACUAGGAUGCUGGCAUAAUGAUCCUAAACCGCCCGUCUUGAGCGCACGAGACCA